This 355-nucleotide long non-coding RNA is filed under the name Cricetulus griseus (Chinese hamster). Its description in RNAcentral is "lncRNA (ENSCGRG00015030865.1)". The record is from RNAcentral. Lineage: Eukaryota; Metazoa; Chordata; Mammalia; Rodentia; Cricetidae.
AAACUUUGCCAACCUGAAGGAGUGAAACAGCAUCAAAGAAUAUUUCAGUGAAAAACCAACAACAACCUAUGAGAGAGAUGUGAACAAAUAUCAACUCACCUCAGAUAGGAAACCAAUGACAGACCAAAGUACAAGUUGGGAGGUUACUUAUAGCAGCAGAAAUGACACAGACACCUGCAUCACCAAAACCAUCACUAGCAUGGAGCCCUCAUCCAGUGGCUGAUGGAAGCAGAGGCAGACAUCCACAGAUACUCACUGAACUGAACUCUGGAACUUAGUUGCAGAGAGGGAGGAAUGAAGGGGGUUGGUACCAGGUUGGAGAAACCCACAGAAACAGUUGGCCUGAACAAGGGGG